Manis javanica (Malayan pangolin) is the source of this 3228-nucleotide non-coding RNA. Lineage: Eukaryota; Metazoa; Chordata; Mammalia; Pholidota; Manidae. The record is from RefSeq and is a predicted model, not a curated record.
AGAGUUCCCCGCGGACCGGGAAGACGCGUGAAGCGGCGUCUCCUAGGACCCGGAUUGAGGCAAGAUGGCGGGCUCGUGGUGAGCAGCGGUGAAGGGAUGAAAAUGGGUAUGCCUACAAGCAGAUUUUAAAAGCAGUUCCUCUUCAACUGAUCUUUCCUCUCACCUGAUAAACAUCUUGAUUCACCAUGGCAUUAGCAGCAGCAAAAUGGGUGAUAUCAAACAGGACUGUCUUGAAACAUUUAAUUCCAAUUCAAAAUGGAGCUUUAUGUUGUGUUAGUCAUAAAACUACAUAUUCUUCUCUUCCAGAUGACUAUAAUUGCAAGGUAGAGCUGGCUUUGACAUCUGAUGGCAGGACAAUAGUGUGCUACCACCCUUCUGUGGACAUUCCAUAUGAACACACCAAACCUAUCCCUCGGCCAGAUCCUGUGCAUAAUACUGAAGAAACACAUGAUCAAGUGCUGAAAACCAGAUUAGAAGAAAAAGAUGAACACAUUGAGCAAGGACCCAUGAUAGAACAACUUAGCAAAAUGUUCUUUACUACUAAGCACCGUUGGUAUCCUCGUGGACAGUAUCAUAGACGUCAUAUGAAACUGAAUCCACCAAAAGACAGAUGAUAUUGAGGUUUUCAGAAGUCCAAGAGAAAUGUUAACCCUGUGUCUCGUUUGCCAUGAGAAAAUGCAAUCGGGAAAAGAAGUGUCAACUGAGGAUCAGACUAGUAGGGGAAGAUUGCUUCAUGGAGAACCAUUUUUAAAUUCACCUUGUUGAGAAUCAGCCUUCAGUUUUCUUCUGGGGAUUUACCCUUUCCCCACUCUCAGUCUAUGAAUUCUCAGUGGCAUUCUGAUUCUAUACCAAGAGUGGAAUCAUGACCCAGGCCCAAGAUAACCUGCACAUGUGUUCCUGAGGUGGGUACAUGACUUAAACCAAUGCAAUCCAAGGGCAUUUAAAGACUUUCACACGUGCCACCAGCAGAUAAGUUCUUUCUCUCCACUGAAUAGGAACUUAAGGGUUGUAAGACUAGCGUUCCUGCAGUCAUCUUAUGACCAUGAGGGGAUUGUCUGAUAUGGAGCCAACCCAAAAGACAUGGAACUGAGAAACGGAGAAAAUGAAACUAGAUCCUAAUUACUUAAACCAAAAAUUAAUUUUUUGCUUAAGCCCAUUUGAAUGGAUCUUUCUUACAUAUGGAAUCAACAUUUGAAUCAAAAUGAAUCUGAAUGAAUCUAAAAUCAAAAAAGUCUUAACUGAUGUAAUAAUCGUGUUCAAAAUUAAAUGAUCACGAUCAAAAUUAACUUGAAAAAAUAUAUACAUACAUGUUUAGAGCACAGUCUGAGAAACAAAUGAAAUAGAAUCUGUUGGCUAUGUCAGCUUGUUCUAUAUGCUUGCCAAAAUUAAUGUCUAGAAAAGAGAGUAAAGCGUGAGUAUCCUAAGAGUAAAACUGGAGUAGUCUAAAAAAAUCCAACCAGUUGCUAGGGAUAUCCUGACUUGAGAGAUUCAGAACAGUCCCUUAACAAUGCAUUAUGAUGAAAACAGUUCUUCACAACAGUGACCAUGAAACACUCGAAAGCCAGUUAUAAGAGAGAUUCAUAGGCUCAUAGAACUUUAGAUCUGGAGGAGUUAAAAUCAUCUGCAACUCAGUAAUGGAGGGAAAUGGAUUCAUUGCAUUUUAAACAAUAGAAAUUGAAAUGGAUGUUUUAGGUAAUCCUUAAAUGAUUGAAAGCAGUGGUUUCCCAGUCUCCUCUACUGACUAAGGCUCUACAGUACAAGGGAAUUUUAUCACAGCUGGGCCUUCUUAGGUCUCCAGGGGCAAAGAAGCUUAGUGAAAACUCCUACUUCAUUUCUCCAUUGUAUAACUCUUAUGGUGGGACAUACCUGUUUUUCAAAGUAAUAUUUGAGGAAUGUCAUAGAUUUUGACUCAGAUUAUUUGGGAGGAAGAAUGUGGAGUAGAAUAUGGAAGAAAUGUAGAGUUAGCAGAUUUUCAUUUGGAUCCUAGCCCUGUCCAUAACUGAGCUGCUAGAUGUAUAAGCCCCAUGAAGACAUGGCCUAUAUCUGUCUUUUAAUUCAUUGAUGUACACUUAGUGCCACAAUGCACCACAAUAUCUGGCACAUAUAAUGAAUGCUCAAUAGGUUUUUGUUAACUAAAUUAAUAUAUGGAUUUUGUGGAGUCCCUUAACCUUUCUGUUAGUGUAACUUGUUGCUUUGGUAACAAGCACCAAAGCCUCAGUAAAGUUUAUUUAUAAAUAAAUCACAAUAAAAGUUUAUUUCUCAUUCCUGUUACAGUCUAAUUCUGGUCAGUUGAUAGGGAAAAAUAUCUCUGCUCCCAGAGUCAUUCAAGGACCCAGGCUCCUGCCAAGUGAUGGCUUCACCAUUGCCUGGGGCUUGGACUCUUCUGGAUCCUGUGCUUCUGGAGGGCAGGCAAAGAAGAGAAUGUAGAGAAGAGAGGACUGUAUGUUUGGUUUUAGUGGUCAUCCCUAACGGAGGGGGCCAGAAUUCAGUUCUUUGCCAGACUACCCCUCCUACUAUAAGAGAGCUGGGAACUGAUUUAGUGGCACACCCCUUUAAGAAGAGGAGAAAUAAACGUUGAUGAGAUUAAGCUUUCUCUGCUUCACUCUCUGAGCCCCAAUUCUUCUGAAAAGAAGAAACGAUAAUUACUAUUUGCCAGCACUUUAUGAGGAUUUAAUGAGGCAAUGAAUGUAGAAGUACUUGGUAAAGUGCUGUCAAAUGUUACUUAUGAGUAUUCCUCAGUAAUUUGGUCCCUUUACGUCUGCAUUUAAUCUUUGAAAUGUGUAUGCUGAAAUGCUAAGAACCUUUCCAGCUCUAAAAUGCUUAAAUUCUGUGAUAUUUUAACCUUCAGCAAGCAAAUAACUUUCUGGCUUUGUCUUGCUUGGUGCCUGGGAUAAACCCUUUAGGAUCCUACAUGAUUCUACAACUCAGUUCUCCUGCCCCCAAGCUCUCUUACAUUGUUGUAAUAUUGCCUGUGUUCUUUUUGAGACAUAACCUGACUACAUUCUCUCAUUUUAAUACUAUUCAUUCCAACCAUGGGUAAUAAAUAACUUUGCCUUCCUAUUGCAUCAAAUUCCAACCUGCUAGACUUACCUAAUUUCUGAAGAAAAUCUUAGAUGUAGGGUAGAGAAUCUAAGGAAGCAUCAAACAGACUUGAAAUAUUAAAAACAAACAUGAUUACUUUAAUCCUGUCUUGAAAGAUUCUAUGUAAUAGAAGUUUGGUUUAAUCUA